GGGGGAAUGAGGCCCGUGUGCUUUUCUUCCCUGGUUAUCCAGGACUACCAUUUGCAUGCUACACAUGCCAAAAUUGCCACAGGCCUUUUUCACCUCAUCCCUGUUAAUCCACGGGAAAACAAAAAAACUACUCUGGCCUCGUGUUUAUCGUUCCUGUCUCUCUGCUAGUUCGUCUCUGUCGCAGCAGCCAUGGCGGCUAGAGUUUACGCCGCCGGCUUCCAUCCAUAGGAAAAACCUCCUCAUCUAGUCGUUGCCCUCCAUCCCCACAUGCCCACGCUGCUCGUCGCCCCUCUCCACCACCAGGAAUCAUUCAGUUCACCCGAUCCAGCGCAUCGCAUCUACAACCGUGCGUCCAGUUCCUGCUUUGCUCAGCUGACGUGGUCUCUGUAGUAGAUCAGGCCUGAGGUGUUUUUUCUUAGUAUAGCUAUGAGUAAAGGAGAAAACUCUAGGGCUCAUUGGAACUUCAAUAAAGAAAAGGCCUAGUUGAUAUAUUGAACGAGCACAAUCAUCAAAGGUUCCGGGGGCAAAAUGGAUGGGCGACCGAAGGGUGGAAGAGCAUUGUGAAGAGUUUUAAUGAAAAGUUUCCAUCUGAUCGGUUUACAAAGGGCCAAAUACAAGAAAAGGAGAAAGAGGAUAAAGCAAACUACAAGGCAAUCCGUGAUGGAAAAAAGAAAAGUGGUGCAGGAUGGAAUGAACCUUUGUGCAUGAUUAAUGCUGAGCCAGUAAUAUGGGAAAAGCUUAUCCAUGAUAUUCCAAGGCUAAAGAAAUUCCAAGCAAAAUCAUUCACUUUGUUUUAUGAACUAGAAAAGCUGCAUGAAGGAAGCAUUGCUACAGGUGAUCUAAACUUCACAUCAACUGAACCAGCACCCCAACCAACUGAACAUGUUAGCACUAUUGAUAUUGAUGCUCAUGAUUCUCACCUUAACCCUUUCCUUGCAAAUGUGGAUGAUCACAUGCCAUCUAGUGGACCCAUAGACAUAGAAUAGAUAGAAACAUCAUCUUCAUCUUGCUCUAAAAAUCUUGAAAAUAGGACUGGGAAGAAAAGAAAGCUCGGUAUUGCUGGAGUUUUACAAAACUAUAUGGACAUUAGGGCAAAUGAAACAAAAAUAUUUAUGAAUGAACUCAAUGAGACAACUAAGGAAGCAGGUGACUAUUCUAUCAAGCAGUGUCUGGAUCUUCCAGAAUCAAUUGAAGAACUUUCAGAUGAGGAAAAGGCGCAAGCAACAAAUGUGCUGAAGUCUGAGGUCAACAGAGAAAUUUUCAUGAACUUCAAGAUUCCAAAGGUUCGUUUGUUAUGGGUCAAAGGCGAAAUCGCUCCCAAGGUCUAAUCUACAUUGUAUCGUGGUUGCUGGUGGUGUUUACAAGCUGAUGGCUGCAGAUGGUGCAUUUUUGGCUUCUUUGUAUCUGGUUUUGAGACAUUGUAGUGAAGGUUGACAUGAGAAACUCUUGUAUGAACUUUGGAAUGGUUAUCUUUGGAGUGCCUUGUGACAAUUUACCUUUUUAUGUACUUCGGAUAUGUAUGGAAUAUUUUUCUUUGAUGCAUGUACUUCGGAUUUGUAUGAAUAUUUUUAUCCUUGCUAAUAAUUUUGUGUGUUGCA
This is a long non-coding RNA of Zea mays, 1598 nucleotides long. RefSeq lists it as uncharacterized. The record is from RefSeq and is a predicted model, not a curated record. Lineage: Eukaryota; Viridiplantae; Streptophyta; Magnoliopsida; Poales; Poaceae. The transcript is spliced from 5 exons.